This 1033-nucleotide long non-coding RNA is filed under the name Nicotiana benthamiana. RNAcentral's name for it is "long non-coding RNA (NBEN_LNC037336)". Lineage: Eukaryota; Viridiplantae; Streptophyta; Magnoliopsida; Solanales; Solanaceae. The record is from RNAcentral.
UAUCGACGGUGCUCCUAAUUAUCGCAAGGUUUUUCCUAAUUAGCAGUUCUAAUUUUCAUUUUUCUUACUUCUUGCUGUGCCACAUGCAGUUUACUGUUUAUUUUAUGAUACCUUUUUCCAUUUUGGAUGUUCUAGACUAUUUGACUUAAAUUUUCAUUUUUCUUACUGCUUCCUGUGCCACAUGCAGUUUACUGCUUAUUGUAUGAUACCUUUUUCCAUUUUUGGAUGUUCUAGACUAUUUGACUUAAAUUUUUCUAACAGAUUAACUUUCCUAUUAUUAUGAUCAUAUUUUCUUUUAUUACUACUGAUUUAAUGCCCAAGUCAAACUCUCUAUCCAGCCGUAAAUGUUUUUCCUAAUCUCUUUGACUGUACAAAGUUUCCUAAGUUUGAUAUUCCUUUUUUGAGUGCAUUUUAUUGAGACAUAACUGUAAAAAAGUAAUGCUAGUUGGCUGGGGCAGAUCCUGCGUGUCUCGUAUGGAUUCAUAUGAACCCAAUAACUUUGGCUCGGACCACUAAUAACGACAAAUAAUAGAUUUCGAACCCAAUAAUUAAAUCAAUGAGCUUUGGUGGAAUCUCGAUUACUCGUAUCCAUAAAGUUCAAAACCUGUUUCCGCCGCUGCUAGUUGGACCUAUUUGUGGAUGAGUUAAACACAUCUCUCUUGAUUCACUAAACCCCUCUAAAUUCUUCAAUGGUUUCACUUUGGUCAUAUUGCAUACAUCUAUUGAUGAAUUAUUGUAAGAUUAAGCAAAGUGCAAUAUUCCGUAUCUACAUGUAAAAGUUAACUUAAGAGCUAAUUAUUCCGCUUGUUUAUUUAUUCCUUUUAUCUUUUUUUUUUCGUGACUGUUGUUUGGUUGAAAAAAGUGUACCGCAUUCUCCUAUUCAUCCAAUACUAACGGAUGUUAGAAAGUUGAAAUUUGGGGUUUGCAUAAUUCCAGAUGUUUACAUCUCCUCUUUAUAUUCUUUUUUAGUUCUUUUUCUUUAGAUAGGUAAAGGUUAUAUACUUGCAUUGUCAGUGUAUAGAUUCUUUACACC